This 495-nucleotide ribosomal RNA is filed under the name Escherichia coli. RNAcentral describes it as "partial 23S ribosomal RNA". It matches the Rfam family "Bacterial large subunit ribosomal RNA", at positions 1 to 535 of the family's 2925-position model. The record is from RNAcentral. Lineage: Bacteria; Pseudomonadati; Pseudomonadota; Gammaproteobacteria; Enterobacterales; Enterobacteriaceae.
GGUUAAGCGACUAAGCGUACACGGUGGAUGCCCUGGCAGUCAGAGGCGAUGAAGGACGUGCUAAUCUGCGAUAAGCGUCGGUAAGGUGAUAUGAACCGUUAUAACCGGCGAUUUCCGAAUGGGGAAACCCAGUGUGUUUCGACACACUAUCAUUAACUGAAUCCAUAGGUUAAUGAGGCGAACCGGGGGAACUGAAACAUCUAAGUACCCCGAGGAAAAGAAAUCAACCGAGAUUCCCCCAGUAGCGGCGAGCGAACGGGGAGGAGCCCAGAGCCUGAAUCAGUGUGUGUGUUAGUGGAAGCGUCUGGAAAGGCGCGCGAUACAGGGUGACAGCCCCGUACACAAAAAUGCACAUACUGUGAGCUCGAUGAGUAGGGCGGGACACGUGGUAUCCUGUCUGAAUAUGGGGGGACCAUCCUCCAAGGCUAAAUACUCCUGACUGACCGAUAGUGAACCAGUACCGUGAGGGAAAGGCGAAAAGAACCCCGGCGAGGG